CCGGGGAUAUUUAAGGAUGAGUAGACUAGACUACUCCGAAGGAAGGCUUGUUUUCUAUGUUGACUGCUUUGCACAGAAAAUAAAGCUCAUCAAAGGCUUGAAGUUGCCUUUACUUUGAAAGAAAUACGUCAUCUUCAAAUAUGCAAACCAGGUUUACUGUUGAUAACCCAAGAGUUAUUGACCUUGUGUUUCAGCUGUUCUCAGCGUGCACUUUGGCUUUUUCUGUAAUAAGAUCAUCUUACCAGCAGAUGAUUAUUGAUCACUUAUGACAGAAACAAAAAGCCUUGAGCAGACUAAUCUAUUCAUUGUGCUCAGUGCAAAAUGAUGUAAAAAUUGACAAACACUCCCCUCUUCCUACCCACCCCAACUCACCCCCCCUCAAAAAAUAUAAUGUAGUCACAGUCAAAAACACCAUUUCAGGAUGAAACCCAGAGAACUAGGGAAGAUGGCAAGCAACAGUAAGUUUUACCGAGACCUGCUUGGUGAACAACUACCACCCGGCAAGAGCCAUGGCACUACCAACCAAUCAUGAUCACAAUUGGACUGUCCUCAGCACCUAACCCAAACCUGCUGGGGCCUUCCCCGUGCUGCCCACCCAGGAAGGGGAGAAAAUGUACGGCUGCACGAGAAGGCAGUGGAGCAGGGCUGGCUGGCUCAGGACCCACGGGGCCAUCAGCAUCCUUGCCAACCCAACGCCGACACAGUGGCAAGAUGUGCCCCCAUCCCCAAGUUCUCCGGACGGGCACAGGCAGAUGUGCCUUCAGGUCCCAUGUGUGCCUUGAGGAAAAUUCCUCUGCCUAGUGAGUGUGGAGCUGAAGAGGCCAUUACUGCUUUACUAGCCUCCUACAAGCAUAGCUCAAACCAUCCCAUCUGGCCCUUGCAGCAGCAGCAGAAAGAGGGGUUUUGUCUCAAGCCCUGAACAGAACAGGAGGCACAUGGCGUUACCUGCGCUGCUCAAGUGUGGUGAGCAGGUGGGCAUGUCCUGCAGCUCAGCCCUGCUGCACUGACCACUACCAUGGCACUGCUGCUGACAGAUCUCAAGAUCAGCUGAGGCCAAACUCUUCUGUGUUCAGAUUUGCAUCACCUUUUGAAGUCUCACAUCCAGUCUGGGGUGUGGGGUGUGCUGUGCAACUGGGAGACAAACCAUGUAAGAGAGCCUGAAACACAAAGGAGACUUCAGUUCCUUUCUUCUCUGCAUCCCAUGGAGAGCAGUGCUGUCUAUCCAGCCUCCUGCUGAAAGCAAUAUCAAAAUGAAAAAUAAUCAUAUUAAGGCAAAUCCAGACAAAACAGAGUAUGGGAAGAAGAAAGCAUGUUUAAGAAUUUUCUCCUUAUUUCAAAAGCAUAAAUCUUAAGAUUGUUAAAAUAAGUCUCACUCUCACAUUUUUUGACCUAUUGUUUUUGGAUUCCCAUUGACCUAUCAAAUGUCAUGAGUAAAACUCAUAUGUCUAUCUUCAAUUAAUA
Molecule: long non-coding RNA, 1461 nt
Filed under: Zonotrichia albicollis (white-throated sparrow)
Lineage: Eukaryota; Metazoa; Chordata; Aves; Passeriformes; Passerellidae
Description: lncRNA (ENSZALG00000009913.1)
Source: RNAcentral